UUAUAAGUAAUAAAAUAAAUAUUAUUAUUUAUUCGAAUAAUUUUGAAUAUAAAUUACUAUUGUGCUAUCAUUCUUACUUUCUAAUUUUAAUUUUAUUAUAUAAUUUCAAUGUAUUUAACUGUUAAUGAUGGACGUAUCAGCUCGUGUUAUUAUACUAAUACGUCUUUAGCCUUACCAUUUAAGGCUCAUAUUGUAUAGUGCUGGCACUCCAAAUUGUGGAGUUGUAUGUAUGCAGCGCACAAGAAAUUCAAAUAUUGUCAGUUGACCCAUACCCAACUGUCUUUGUGCUCGCAAAAUUUUGUUGUUUUGUUGUUGCCAUAUUACAGGUUGAUCCCUAUGAAUUUCGAUUCCAUCUCUUGCUCGCCUUAUGUCUUUAGUAAUGGCUCCAAUAUAUGUUUAUUACUUUUCUUACCAACAAAAUACCAAGGUGAUGGAUUUGGAUGCGUGAAAUGGCUCAUCAAGUUCCUGUGGCUCGCUUCCAAAAUAUUAUUUGUUCUAUCAGUACGCCCAUGUACUGAGAGAGUAACAGGGCCAAUUUCUGAAAAGAAGAAGUAUCAU
Long non-coding RNA from Adelges cooleyi (spruce gall adelgid), 558 nucleotides. RefSeq lists it as uncharacterized. Lineage: Eukaryota; Metazoa; Arthropoda; Insecta; Hemiptera; Adelgidae. The transcript is spliced from 3 exons. The record is from RefSeq and is a predicted model, not a curated record.